AUACAGACAGCACUAGCAGUCUGUGGGCGAAGGUCUCACAUGCAGGCAGCACUAGCAGUCUGUGGGCGAAGGUCUCACAUGCAGGCAGCACUAACAGUCUGGGGGUGAAGGUCUCACAUGCAGGCAGCACUAACAGUCUGGGGGCGAAGGUCUCACAUGCAGGCAGCACUAACAGUCUGGGGGCGAAGGUCUCACAUGCAGGCAGCACUAACAGUCUGUGGGUGAAGGUCUCACAUGCAGGCAGCACUAACAGACUGUGGGCGAAGGUCUCACAUGCAGGCAGCACUAACAGUCUGUGGGCGAAGGCCUCACAUGCAGGCAGCACUAACAGUCUGUGGG
Long non-coding RNA from Oncorhynchus tshawytscha (Chinook salmon), 339 nucleotides. Lineage: Eukaryota; Metazoa; Chordata; Actinopteri; Salmoniformes; Salmonidae. The record is from Ensembl.